RNAcentral lists this unclassified non-coding RNA (19 nucleotides) under Mus musculus (house mouse). Its description in RNAcentral is "oocyte_clustered_small_RNA8778". Lineage: Eukaryota; Metazoa; Chordata; Mammalia; Rodentia; Muridae. The record is from RNAcentral.
GUGGCCUGUAUUGUAUGAA